ACGAUGAGUAGAAGCGGCAAAAGCUCAAAUUUGAAACCCUCGGGAUUGUAAUUUGAAGAUUUGGCAUUGGAGAAAGCUAACCCAAGUUGCUUGGAAUAGUACGUCAUAGAGGGUGACAACCCCGUCUGGCUAACCGUUCUCCAUGUAUUGCCUUAUCAAAGAGUCGAGUUGUUUGGGAAUGCAGCUCAAAGUGGGUGGUAAACUCCAUCUAAAGCUAAAUACUGGUGAGAGACCGAUAGCGAACAAGUACUGUGAAGGAAAGGUGAAAAGAACUUUGAAAAGAGAGUGAAAUAGUAUGUGAAAUUGUUGAUAGGGAAGGAAAUGAGUGGAGAGUGGCCGAGGUUUCAGCCGCCCCUCGUGGGCGGUGUACUGCCGACGCCGAGUCAUCGAUAGCGAGACGAGGGUUACAAAUGGGAGCGCCUUCGGGCGUUCUCCCCUAACCCUCCACACUGC
RNAcentral lists this ribosomal RNA (453 nucleotides) under Yarrowia lipolytica. RNAcentral describes it as "LSU rRNA". It matches the Rfam family "Eukaryotic large subunit ribosomal RNA", at positions 86 to 500 of the family's 3401-position model. Lineage: Eukaryota; Fungi; Ascomycota; Dipodascomycetes; Dipodascales. The record is from RNAcentral.